GGUUCCAUUCUGUAGCGGUUAGCAUGUCUGCUUUACACGCAGAAGUUCCUGGGUUCACACCCCAGUGGAGCUA
Non-coding RNA from Pteropus alecto (black flying fox), 73 nucleotides. Lineage: Eukaryota; Metazoa; Chordata; Mammalia; Chiroptera; Pteropodidae. The record is from Rfam.